AACAAACGCUGGCGGCGUGCCUAAUACAUGCAAGUCAAACGGGUAGCAAUACUAGUGGCGCACGGGUGAGGAAUACAUGGGUAAUCUGCCCUCGAGUUGGGGAUAACCAGUCGAAAGAUUGGCUAAUACCGGAUAAGACCACAAGAUCUGCGGAUCAAGGGUUAAAGGUUUUUCGCUUGAGGAUGAGCCCAUGUGGGAUUAGCUAGUUGGUGAGGUAAUGGCUCACCAAGGCGACGAUCCCUAACUGGUCUUAGAGGAUGAUCAGUCACACUGGAACUGAGACACGGUCCAGACUCCUACGGGAGGCAGCAGUAGGGAAUAUUGCACAAUGGGGGAAACCCUGAUGCAGCGACGCCGCGUGAGUGAUGAAGGCCUUCGGUCGUAAAGCUCUCGGUCGUAGUGGGAAUAACACAAUAGAAUGUACCAUGCAAGAAGGAUCGGCUAACUUCGUGCCAGCAGCCGCGGU
Molecule: ribosomal RNA, 466 nt
Filed under: uncultured bacterium
Lineage: Bacteria
Description: bacterial SSU rRNA
Rfam family: Bacterial small subunit ribosomal RNA
Source: RNAcentral